RNAcentral lists this ribosomal RNA (1215 nucleotides) under Triticum aestivum (bread wheat). Its description in RNAcentral is "partial small subunit ribosomal RNA". The record is from RNAcentral. Lineage: Eukaryota; Viridiplantae; Streptophyta; Magnoliopsida; Poales; Poaceae.
AUGAGCGACGCCUCCGCCGCCGGCCAGGGCGCUCUGGAUGCCGCCUCGUCCGGCGACGCUUCUUCGCCGGCGCCCUUAACCAUCCACAACGUGGACAUCUUCACCCACGUCCCCGCCAAGCUAGACUUCGACGCCGACAACUACGCCGAGUGGAGGGACGGCAUGCUCUCCGCGCUCGCCGAGUUCGGCGCCGUCGACCACGUCGAGGAGCAGGCCCACUCCCUGCACGACGGAGACGAGGAGUGGAUGCGCGCCGACGUCACCAUCGUCCUCUGGAUCUACACCACCAUCUCCGACGAGCUGCUGGACGAGGACGAGGGCGCGUUCGACCCGGCCCUGGAGCUCCGCACCGCCGCGCAGGGGGACAUGUCCGUCAACGCCUACGGCUGGCGCCUCAAGGCGCUGGCCCGUGCCGUCUCCGACGCGGGCGGCGAGCCCGUCUCCGACACCGCGCUGGCCCUGCAGCUGCUCCGCGGGGUGACCCCCAGGCUCCGGGUCAUGGGCACCUCCCUGCUCGUCAAUGACCGCUUCCCCAGUUUCAUGGAGGCCUUAUCGUGGCUGCACCUUGAGGAGUACAGACGUGAGCAGGAAAGCAGAUCUUCACCACUUCUGGGCCGGCCCUUUUCCCAUCCGGUCGCGGGCGCAACUGUAGCCGUCGGCGGCUGGUGGAGGAUCGUCCGAUUCGUCAGACGAUCCUCCGUCGUCAUCGGAGGAGGAGGAGACGAUGAUGAGGCCCUUGAGGCGCCGGAUAGCCCGAUCCUGCUGGCGCUUGAGCUUCGCCAGCCCAGCCGCCUCCGUCGUCUUCUCUCCUUGGCCUCACGCUCGGACUGCGAUGUCUCCGCCUUCGUAAGUGACCGGCGGUAUACCCACGCGAGGAGCCGCUCGUCCUCGUCGGGCUUCGUUGGUAACCCGUGGCGGCAGCGGACAGAGGUCUCCGCCGCGUCCCUCUCCCUUGCCCGCUGCCUCUCGUGGCGGGCGGCGCGCGCCUACGACUCCGACGCGUGCGUCCGGGCCGUCGGGGCGGGUACAAGCACCCAUCGCCCGCGUGGGGAGCAGCAGCUGACGGGGGUCAGGGACGACCACCACGUAGGACUGGCGAAGGGGUCUCACACUGACUCGCCCGGAAACCCGGCGGUUCGACAGACACCUCCUCCAUCGCCGUGGUGUGAACGCCGUGUGGCGCCGCUCCGGCUCGCCGCACGAGAGCAAAUUCGC